UGAUGGAGCUUCUAUCAGACUUGAGUAUCAGAUUGGAGGGUGUGGAGAGCUUCCUUCUGAGAUUCAGUGACAGGAUUUUCGAUAUAGAGAGGGAGAUCAGAUGGAUUAUAGUCUCUCUCUCUGCUGGAGUGGGCACAUCGAUUUUUUCUACACUGUAGAUGGAUGACCUGGCUCGAGAGAUAGAGAGACUCCACAGUCAGCUUCAUUCCUCUCUUGAACUGCUUCGGACAGACAUCAGAGACUCCAGAGACUUUGUAUCUGCUGAUCUAGAUGGGCUCCAACUUACUGUGAGGGGGAUCUUGUCCCACCUUGAUACCAUCAGGACUCAAUUUCAGUCUAGGCCCUCUGCAUCUAGUGAGCUAGCCUUUGUUCAGCCUUUGCUUUCCGUCCUCCGAUUUCUUCCUCUCAGUCCAGACCCUUCGGUCGAGGAUGAGGCUGAUCAUAUCUCACCUUUCUUGAUCUCGUGCUCGAUGCCCAAUUUUCCUGAUUUCAUCAUUUUGUAUUAGGUUACUUAGUUAUAUUUUGUAGAUUGGAUGUAUGAGAGCUUUAUGCUCAUUAUGACUCUUAUAACCUUUCUUUUGGUGUAAAUGAAUGAGGUUGUUUCCAUUUGACUCAUUUCUCUUUUGAUAAA
Molecule: long non-coding RNA, 631 nt
Filed under: Elaeis guineensis (African oil palm)
Lineage: Eukaryota; Viridiplantae; Streptophyta; Magnoliopsida; Arecales; Arecaceae
Description: long non-coding RNA (EGUI_LNC040520)
Source: RNAcentral